GGCUCCAUAGUGUAGUGGUUAGCUCUUCUGCUUUAUAUGCAGAAGGUCCUGGGUUCGCACCCCAGGUGGAGCCA
RNAcentral lists this transfer RNA (74 nucleotides) under Pteropus alecto (black flying fox). It matches the Rfam family "tRNA". Rfam says of the family: Transfer RNA (tRNA) molecules are approximately 80 nucleotides in length. Their secondary structure includes four short double-helical elements and three loops (D, anti-codon, and T loops). Lineage: Eukaryota; Metazoa; Chordata; Mammalia; Chiroptera; Pteropodidae. The record is from Rfam by way of RNAcentral.